This 433-nucleotide ribosomal RNA is filed under the name uncultured bacterium. Its description in RNAcentral is "partial 16S ribosomal RNA". It matches the Rfam family "Bacterial small subunit ribosomal RNA", at positions 29 to 507 of the family's 1533-position model. The record is from RNAcentral.
AACGAACGCUGGCGGCAUGCCUAACACAUGCAAGUCGAACGAGACCUUCGGGUCUCGUGGCGCACGGGUGCGUAACGCGUGGGAACCUGCCCUUAGGUUCGGAAUAACUCCCCGAAAGGGGUGCUAAUACCGGAUCAUUUCUUCGGACCAAAGAUUUAUCGCCUUUGGAUGGGCCCGCGUUGGUUUAGCUAGUUGGUAGGGUAAACGCCUACCAAGGCGACGAGCCAUAGCUGGUCAGAGAGGAUGAGCAGCCACACUGGGGCUGAGACACGGCCCAGACUCCUACGGGAGGCAGCAGUGGGGAAUAUUGGACAAUGGGCGGAAGGCUGAUCCAGCAAGGCCUCGUGAGUGAUGAAGGCCGUAGGGUUGGAAAGCUCUUUUACCCGGGAUGAUAAUGACAGUACCGGGAGAAUAAGCUCCGGCUAACUCCGUG